AACGAACGCUGGCGGCGUGCCUAACACAUGCAAGUCGAGCGCGAAAGUCCCUUCGGGGGCAACCCUGGCGACGAGUGGCGAACGGGUGAGUAAUACAUCGGAACGUGCCCAGUUGUGGGGGAUAGCUCGGCGAAAGCCGGAUUAAUACCGCAUACGACCUACGGGUGAAAGCGGGGGAUCGCAAGACCUCGCGCAAUUGGAGCGGCCGAUGGCAGAUUAGCUUGUUGGUGGGGUAAAAGCUUACCAAGGCGACGAUCUGUAGCUGGUCUGAGAGGACGACCAGCCACACUGGGACUGAGACACGGCCCAGACUCCUACGGGAGGCUG
This 327-nucleotide ribosomal RNA is filed under the name uncultured Pseudomonadota bacterium. Its description in RNAcentral is "bacterial SSU rRNA". It matches the Rfam family "Bacterial small subunit ribosomal RNA", at positions 29 to 351 of the family's 1533-position model. The record is from RNAcentral. Lineage: Bacteria; Pseudomonadati; Pseudomonadota.